RNAcentral lists this ribosomal RNA (514 nucleotides) under Phragmidium tuberculatum. RNAcentral describes it as "eukaryotic LSU rRNA". It matches the Rfam family "Eukaryotic large subunit ribosomal RNA", at positions 88 to 606 of the family's 3401-position model. The record is from RNAcentral. Lineage: Eukaryota; Fungi; Basidiomycota; Pucciniomycetes; Pucciniales; Phragmidiaceae.
GGCGAGUAAGAGGGAAAAGCCCAAAUUUGUAAUCUGGCUCUUUCAGANUCCGAGUUGUAAUUUUAAGAACUGUUUUCCGUGCUGGACCAUUUCUAAGUCUGUUGAAAAAUAGCAUCAUUGAGGGUGAUAAUCCCGUUCAUGAUAUGGACUGCCAGUGCAAUGUGAUACAGUUUCUAAGAGUCGAGUUGUUUGGGAAUGCAGCUCAAAGUGGGUGGUAAAUUCCAUCUAAGGCUAAAUAUAGGUGAGAGACCGAUAGCAUACAAGUACCGUGAGNGAAAGAUGAAAAGAACUUUGGAAAGAGAGUUAACAGUACGUGAAAUUGUUGUAAGGGAAACAAUUAAAGUUAGCCUUGUGCUUGUUAGUUCAGCUCUUUACUAGGGUGUAUUCUAACAAUGUCACGGACCAACAUCAGUUUUUGGGUGCUGGAUAAGGGCUCCGGAAAUGUAGCAGUNUCGGCUGUGUUAUAGUCCGGGGUUUGGAUACAGUCCUGGRACUGAGGAGAUCUGCAGCAAGC